GAUGAACGCUGGCGGCGUGCCUAAUACAUGCAAGUCGAGCGAACAGACGAGGAGCUUGCUCCUCUGACGUUAGCGGCGGACGGGUGAGUAACACGUGGAUAACCUACCUAUAAGACUGGGAUAACUUCGGGAAACCGGAGCUAAUACCGGAUAAUAUAUUGAACCGCAUGGUUCAGUAGUGAAAGACGGUUUUGCUGUCACUUAUAGAUGGAUCCGCGCCGCAUUAGCUAGUUGGUAAGGUAACGGCUUACCAAGGCAACGAUGCGUAGCCGACCCGAGAGGGUGAUCGGCCACACUGGAACUGAGACACGGUCCAGACUCCUACGGGAGGCAGCAGUAGGGAAUCUUCCGCAAUGGGCGAAAGCCUGACGGAGCAACGCCGCGUGAGUGAUGAAGGUCUUCGGAUCGUAAAACUCUGUUAUUAGGGAAGAACAAAUGUGUAAGUAACUAUGCACGUCUUGACGGUACCUAAUCAGAAAGCCACGGCUAACUACGUG
This 497-nucleotide ribosomal RNA is filed under the name uncultured bacterium. RNAcentral's name for it is "partial 16S ribosomal RNA". It matches the Rfam family "Bacterial small subunit ribosomal RNA", at positions 28 to 507 of the family's 1533-position model. The record is from RNAcentral.